This 468-nucleotide ribosomal RNA is filed under the name uncultured bacterium. Its description in RNAcentral is "partial 16S ribosomal RNA". It matches the Rfam family "Bacterial small subunit ribosomal RNA", at positions 28 to 507 of the family's 1533-position model. The record is from RNAcentral.
GACGAACGCUGGCGGCGUGCUUAACACAUGCAAGUCGAACGGAAAGGCCCUGCUUUUGUGGGGUGCUCGAGUGGCGAACGGGUGAGUAACACGUGAGUAACCUGCCCUUGACUUUGGGAUAACUUCAGGAAACUGGGGCUAAUACCGGAUAGGAGCUCCUGCUGCAUGGUGGGGGUUGGAAAGUUUCGGCGGUUGGGGAUGGACUCGCGGCUUAUCAGCUUGUUGGUGGGGUAGUGGCUUACCAAGGCUUUGACGGGUAGCCGGCCUGAGAGGGUGACCGGCCACAUUGGGACUGAGAUACGGCCCAGACUCCUACGGGAGGCAGCAGUGGGGAAUAUUGCACAAUGGGCGGAAGCCUGAUGCAGCAACACCGCGUGCGGGAUGACGGCCUUCGGGUUGUAAACCGCUUUCGCCUGUGACGAAGCGUGAGUGACGGUAAUGGGUAAAGAAGCACCGGCUAGCUACGUG